UGUAAAAUCAGCUAUGAAGCUAAUGAGUUCAUACCUCAUUUAUGGUUAUAUAU
RNAcentral lists this transfer RNA (53 nucleotides) under Hypochilus thorelli. RNAcentral's name for it is "tRNA-Met". Lineage: Eukaryota; Metazoa; Arthropoda; Arachnida; Araneae; Hypochilidae. The record is from RNAcentral.